This 450-nucleotide ribosomal RNA is filed under the name uncultured bacterium. Its description in RNAcentral is "partial 16S ribosomal RNA". It matches the Rfam family "Bacterial small subunit ribosomal RNA", at positions 354 to 796 of the family's 1533-position model. The record is from RNAcentral.
GUGGGGAAUCUUCCACAAUGGACGAAAGUCUGAUGGAGCAACGCCGCGUGAGUGAAGAAGGGUUUCGGCUCGUAAAGCUCUGUUGUCGGGGACGAAUGUGCAGUAUUUGAAUAAAGUAGUGUAAUGACGGUACCUGACGAGGAAGCCACGGCUAACUACGUGCCAGCAGCCGCGGUAAUACGUAGGUGGCAAGCGUUGUCCGGAAUUAUUGGGCGUAAAGGGAGCGCAGGCGGGAAGGUAAGUCGGUCUUAAAAGUGCGGGGCUCAACCCCGUGAUGGGAUCGAAACUAUCUUUCUUGAGUGCAGGAGAGGAAAGUGGAAUUCCUAGUGUAGCGGUGAAAUGCGUAGAUAUUAGGAGGAACACCAGUGGCGAAGGCGACUUUCUGGACUGUAACUGACGCUGAGGCUCGAAAGCCAGGGGAGCGAACGGGAUUAGAAACCCGUGUAGUCC